GGCCUGAUGGUCUAGUAGUAUGAUUCCUUGUUAGGGUUUGAACUUUCGAGGAGGUCCCGGGUUCAAUUCCCGGUCAGGCCC
RNAcentral lists this transfer RNA (81 nucleotides) under Dendrothele bispora CBS 962.96. RNAcentral's name for it is "tRNA-Pro". It matches the Rfam family "tRNA". Rfam says of the family: Transfer RNA (tRNA) molecules are approximately 80 nucleotides in length. Their secondary structure includes four short double-helical elements and three loops (D, anti-codon, and T loops). Further hydrogen bonds mediate the characteristic L-shaped molecular structure. tRNAs have two regions of fundamental functional importance: the anti-codon, which is responsible for specific mRNA codon recognition, and the 3' end, to which the tRNAs corresponding amino acid is attached (by aminoacyl-tRNA synthetases). tRNAs cope with the degeneracy of the genetic code in two manners: having more than one tRNA (with a specific anti-codon) for a particular amino acid; and 'wobble' base-pairing, i.e. permitting non-standard base-pairing at the 3rd anti-codon position. Lineage: Eukaryota; Fungi; Basidiomycota; Agaricomycetes; Agaricales. RNAcentral also lists the same sequence under 1 other name. The record is from RNAcentral.